GACGAACGCUGGCGGCGUGCUUAACACAUGCAAGUCGAACGGAAAGGCCCUGCUUUUGUGGGGUGCUCGAGUGGCGAACGGGUGAGUAACACGUGAGUAACCUGCCCUUGACUUUGGGAUAACUUCAGGAAACUGGGGCUAAUACCGGAUAGGAGCUCCUGCAGCAUGGGGGGGGUUGGAAAGUUUCGGCGGUUGGGGAUGGACUCGCGGCUUAUCAGCUUGUUGGUGGGGUAGUGGCUUACCAAGGCUUUGACGGGUAGCCGGCCUGAGAGGGUGACCGGCCACAUUGGGACUGAGAUACGGACCAGACUCCUACGGGAGGCAGCAGUGGGGAAUAUUGCACAAUGGGCGGAAGCCUGAUGCAGCAACGCCGCGUGCGUGAUGACGGCCUUCGGGUUGUAAACCGCUUUCGCCUGUGACGAAGCGUGAGUGACGGUAAUGGGUAAAGAAGCACCGGCUAACUACGUG
RNAcentral lists this ribosomal RNA (468 nucleotides) under uncultured bacterium. Its description in RNAcentral is "partial 16S ribosomal RNA". It matches the Rfam family "Bacterial small subunit ribosomal RNA", at positions 28 to 507 of the family's 1533-position model. The record is from RNAcentral.